UAAAGAACACAUUUAGAUGUGAGCCCAAAACACAUCCAACGAGUAUCUAAUGAGCAUCAGUGUCUCACAUGUCAGACAUGGUUGUGGCACAUAGACAUGCCACCCUAAACUAGGAGGCAUGCAUGGACGAAACUAAAGAGAGACACGGGAGUCAUGGCCCCUCUGCUUGCUUGAAUAAGUUCUGAUGGGGAAAUACUAAGCUCAGCUGGGGCCCAAGGACCCCAGAUGACAAGACCGGAAUACUGGACUCCAGAAGGCCCAAUGGCCAGAUUUGAAAGGGGCAGUCAAUCUCAACAACUCACUGAGG
RNAcentral lists this long non-coding RNA (307 nucleotides) under Actinidia chinensis (golden kiwifruit). RNAcentral's name for it is "long non-coding RNA (ACHI_LNC009735)". Lineage: Eukaryota; Viridiplantae; Streptophyta; Magnoliopsida; Ericales; Actinidiaceae. The record is from RNAcentral.